GCAAGGGUCGCUGUAUCUCCAUCGGCACCCGGAUGCAGUGUUAAAUGAGCAAGGGGGCCAUAGAAAAUUCUUUUCGAACGACUCCACUCAAAGUUGUUUGGGAGCAUAUGCUCCUAUCAACUUUACACAGGACACACAAAAGAAGUACUUUGAUCCUAUUAGACGGGGGAUGAUGAAGAAGCUAGGACAGAAGGGUAGAGUUCAAGAGAGUAGAUUGCGUUUAGAAACGUGGAAUAUAGGAACCUUAACGGGAAAAUCUAUGGAAGUAGUGGAAGUUAUGGUGAGGCGAAGGAUUAAUAUUAUGUGCCUACAAGAAACUAAGUGGGUUGGUCUUAAGGCAAAUGAUCUAGAAAACUCAGGGUUUAAGCUUUGGUAUUCGGGCACAAAUAGAACGAGAAACGGUGUUGGCAUCAUUGUGGACAAGACCUUGACACAAGAUGUUGUAGAUGUCAAAAGGGUAGGAGAUAGAAUCAUGGCAAUCAAGAUUGUAAUAGGACAAGAACUCAUCAAUGUGAUUAGUGCGUACGCACCUCAAGUAGAGUUGGAUACAAGUUCGAAGGAGACAUUUUGGAAAGACCUUGGAGACUUGGUGCAAGGAAUUGCUCAGACGGAGAAGUUAUUUAUAGGAGGAGAUUUAAAUGGACACGUGGGCAGGGAGACGGGCAACAAUAGAGGUUUUCAUGGUGGCCAUGGUUUUGGGGAGAGAAACGAGGAUGGGAAAGCUAUCUUGGAUUUUGCAAUGGCAUAUGAUCUCUUCUUAGCCAACACCUUCUUUAAGAAGAGAGAAGAACAUGUGAUUACCUACAAGAGUGGGUCAUCAAAAACACAAAUAGAUUUUCUUCUAAUGAGGAAAGGGGAUCGUAUAACUUGUAAGGAUUGCAAAGUUAUAUCGGGGGAGAGCUUGGCUAAUCAACAUUGCUUGUUGGUGAUGGAUGUACAUAUCAAAAGAACGAGAAAAAAGAACAAGACUUGGAAGUGCCCAAGGACUAGAUGGUGGAAUCUAAAAGGAGAAAAACAAGUCAUUUUCAAAGAGCAAGUAAUCACCCAGUGUGUGUGGGAUAGAGAGGGGGAAGCUAGCCAAAGGUGGGAUUCCAUGGCUAGCUGUAUCCGAAAAGUAGCAAAAGAGGUAUUAGGAGAGUCCAAAGGCUUUGCUCCACACCAAAAGGAAUCUUGGUGGUGGAAUGAGGAGGUACAAACAAAGGUGAAGGCUAAGAAGGAAUGUUGUAAAGCCUUAUACAAGGAUAGGACUGAUGAAAUUGGUGAAAGGUAUAGAAGUGUGAAGCAAGAGGCGAAGAAAGCUAUGAGAGAAGCUAAGUUAGCGGCUUAUGACGAUAUGUAUAAGCAACUAGAUACCAAAGAAGGAGAGUUGGGUAUCUAUAAACUAGCUAGAGCAAGGGAAAAGAAAACAAUGGACCUAAACCAAGUGAGGUGCAUUAAGGAUGAGGAUGGAAAGGUUUUUGCUCUAGAGAAUGCGGUCAAAGACAGAUGGAGAGGUUAUUUUCAUAAUCUUUUCAAUGAAGGACAUGAAAUGAGUACUUCUUUAGGGGAGUUGAGUAACUCAGAAGAGUGUAGAAACUACUCCUUUUAUCGUCGAAUCAGGAAGGAAGAAGUGGUUGUAGCUUUGAAGAAGAUGAAGCAUAGAAAAGCAGUGGGCCCAGACGAUAUACCGAUUGAAGUGUGGAAAGCCUUGGGAGAGACAGGUAUAACAUGGCUCACUGACCUUUUCAAUAGGAUUUUGAAAACGAAGAAGAUGCCAAACGAGUGGCGAAAGAGCACCUUAGUGCCUAUUUACAAGAAUAAGGGCGACGUACAAAAUUGCAUGAACUAUAGGGGUAUUAAGCUAAUGAGUCAUACAAUGAAGCUCUGGGAGAGAGUCAUUGAGCAUAGAUUGAGGCAAGAGACACGGGUUUCGGACAACCAAUUCGGGUUCAUGCAAGGGCACUCAACCAUGGAGGCAAUCUAUCUCUUACGAAGAUUGAUGGAAAGAUAUAGAGAUGAGAAAAAGGAUUUACACAUGGUCUUUAUAGAUUUGGAAAAAGCGUAUGAUAGGGUCCCAAGAGACAUUCUUUGGAGGAUUUUAGAGAAGAAAGGAGUACGAGUAGCAUAUAUUCAAGCUAUAAAGGAUAUGUAUGAAGGAGCAAAGACUGCCGUAAGAACUCAUGAAGGACAAACCGAAAGCUUCCCCAUAACUGUAGGAUUACAUCAAGGCUCAUCCUUAAGUCCUUACCUUUUUGCGUUGGUAAUGGAUGAGUUAACAGGGCAUAUUCAAGAUGAUAUUCCUUGGUGUAUGCUUUUCGCAGACGAUAUAGUGUUGAUAGAUGAAACUCAGGAAGGGGUAAAUGCGAAGCUUAACCUUUGGAGAGAAGUGUUGGAAUCUAAAGGUCUUCGCUUAAGCCGAUCAAAGAUAGAAUAUAUGGAGUGUAAGUUCAGUGCAAAUGGAGGCCAAAAUGAGUUAGGGGUGAGGAUCGGAGAUUAGGAAAUACCAAAGAGCGACCGUUUUUGCUACCUAGGAUCUAUCUUGCAAAAGAACGGAGAAUUAGAUGGAGAUCUCAACCAUAGAAUACAAGCUGGAUGGAUGAAGUGGAAGAGUGCAUCCGGCGUGUUGUGUGAUCGUCGUAUGCCACUGAAGCUUAAGGGAAAAUUUUAUAGGACGGCAAUAAGGCCGGCGAUGCUGUAUGGCACAUAAUGUUGGGCGGUGAAGCAUCAACACGUACACAAAAUGGGUGUAGCGGAGAUGAGGAUGCUUCGUUGGGUGUGUGGGCACACGAGAAAGGAUAAGAUUAGGAAUGACGAUAUCCGAGGUAAAGUAGGAGUAGCCAAAAUUGAAGGAAAGCUGAGAGAAAAUCGGUUACGGUGGUUUGGACAUGUGCAAAGAAGGCCUACUGACGCUCCUGUUAGAAGAUGCGACUACGGGACAGAGGUUCAGGGCCGAAGGGGUAGAGGAAGACCUAGGAAAACUUUGGAAGAGACUCUAAGAAAAGACUUAGAGUACUUGGAUUUAAUGGAGGACAUGACACAGGAUCGAGCACAAUGGCGUUCUAAGAUUCAUAUAGCCGACCCCACUCAGUGACUUGGAUUUUUCAAGUCUCCAAUCUAGAAGUUUUCCCCACUCGGGAAAUUAAGGGAACACUACCUCAACCUACAUGCUCCACUCACAAAGCUUCAACAUACAAGCUUCAACAAAAGAAAAAUUCAAAGAACUUAGUGAAGAAGACUUUGGUGUAUUUAACACAAUACGUUGAAAUGAAACAAAGCUUAUUUAUUGAUAUCUCCAAUAAGUUACAAAUAUGUACAUAUACAUGAGUCAAAAUAAACAAACAAGAGGAAGCCUUCACAAAGGUUGCUUAGGAGAAGUCUCAGCAGUCGGUAGAGCCCCAGAAAGAGAAGGCACCGGAGGGGGAUCAUUCGGAGCCUCAGUACUAGACAGCACCCUAGAAGGAGGAGGCAUCGGAGGUUGAUCAUUUGGAGCUUCAUUAUGUGGUACAGCUCCAGAAGACGAAGGCAAUAAAUGCCUUUGGAACAAACCCACAAACCUUUGAUGAUCAUGUAAAAUCUGACCAUCAGAUUCCUUCAUCUGGUCAAGCUUCCUCUUCAUGUUUGUAGCAUAGUCAUGUGCGAGCCGGUGCAACUAUUUAUUCUUAUGCUUGAGCCCUCUAAUCUCCUGUUUGAGACUCAUCACUUCAGCCGCCAAUGAUUCAACUUGGCAGGUUCGAGCAAAUAGGCGUUGGGCCAUAUUAGACACAGAACCUGCACACUGAACACUGAGAGCUAGAGAAUCCUUAACAGCCAACUCAUCAGACCGUUUGGAAAGUAGUCUAUUAUCUUUGGGAAUGAGAAGGUUCAUGGCCACCACCGCAGCGGUCAUAUCAUUCUUCAUCACGGAAUCCCCAACGGUAAGAGGACCAGUAGGGGAUAAGAAGGAUGGGCGCCAUAUGUUGUCUGGAGAAGGCGUGGCUGCCUCUUCAACAAGGUUCAAGUCAAAACGACGGUCGGAGGGGACAGACAUUUUCAAAGGUGUUGAAGAGAGAAAAGGUCGGACAAAUCAAGAUCUUAGAAAUGUAAGAAGGGAGCUUCUACUGGUGGAGAUUCAAGUGUGCUUUGGAACUUAAUACCAGCCUCUAUAAAAAUCUGCACUCGAUGGAGCUUCAGAAAUCGAAGAGGCGCCUGCUCAGAAAUCGAAAAGGGUUUGCUUUCUCAAAAACUGGGCUACUCAAAGACCACGAAGGCCGAUCUCAGGAAUCGAAGAGGCGUUUGCUUUCCCAAAGGUUGGGCUGCUCAAAGACCACGAAGGUCGAUCGUAGAAAUCGAAGAGGCGCUUGCUUUCUCAAAAGCUGGGCUGCUCAGAGACCACGAGGGCCGAUCUCAGAAAUCGAAGAGGCACCUGCUUUUUCAACCUUGUCAGCACCUGUCACAUGCACACUCAACUUUGCGAAAUUACGGGCAUUCUGUCGAAGAUUUCUGGUGAAGUAGAAAGCACGUGAAUGUUAUUGUUCAAUCAUCCACUUUCCACACGCAACAUUAGCUCACGGGUACCACAAAUAACUUUGCCAAAAAUCUCUGACAAAGUUUAGACACGUGAAGCUUGCAGCUCCCAUUACAUCGCUAUGACCAAGAAGGGUAAAAGAAUAGCAAAGAAACAUCACUAACAAAGUUUAGACACAUAAAUUUUGAAGGUCUAGCUACCAUAUUAUUACCCACAAGGGUAAAGGAACAGGACCACUGCUGGAUAAUUGGAAAGUCCCUGUGUGUCAACCUCUGUGCUCCGUGGCAAGGUAGACUAGCAAACAGGCCUAACCUUUACUCACAUUCGAGAAUACACUCCCAACAAGAUUGCUUGCUUCAAGAUCGAAGAGGCACCGUCCUCCGAAUCUCGAGAGCCAGACUCCCAACAUGAUUACUUUCUCAAAAAACAACGAGACACCGCUCUCCGAAUCUCGAGAGCCAGACUCCUAGCAGGAUUGCUUUCUCAAAAAUCGAAGAGGCACCGUUCUCCGAAUCUCGAGAGACAGAUCCUCGACAGGAUUGCUUGUUCGAAAACCGAAGAGGCACCGCUUUCUCAACUUCAAGAGCCCCUUAGAUAAAGCUUGUUUGUAAUCCUCACACCAUUUUCUCAACUUCGAGAGCCAGAUCUCCUUGGAUAAAGCUUGUUUGUAAUCUUCACACGUAACAUCAGCUUUCCAGAUACCACAGACCACUUUUUCAAAGUGCUCUAACAGAGUUAAAACACGUGAAGCUGGCAGCUCCGACUACCGUGCUAUGACCAAGCAGGGUAAAAGAAUAACAUUACUCCUUGUUGUUAGGGAGACUCCUAUAUAUGUCGACCUCCAUCCUCAACGGACAGGCAGACCUGCAAAAAUGCUCAACCCUUCCUCAUAUCUGAGAGGGCACUCCCAACGAAGCCUCUCGAAAUACUCAGCUUUCUUUUCCCCCGAGAAUACCUCUGCAAACAAGCUACACUAGAGCAAGAAUAUCUCAUAUCAUCAGGAUUAAAAGCAAAAGUAUCCCAUAUCAUGUUUUUUCCCUGUCUUUUCCUUUGGCCUUGUUCUUACCUGCAAGACAAGGAGAAAGAAAGCAAUCGGUCAGCACUUGGAAUCAAGCUUCCAGUUCGGAACUGACUGCCUGGAACCCCUUACCUGAUUACUUACCUGGCAUUGCUCUCGAGUACUCAUCUUCAACAUCUUAUGCUCCCCGAGAAGAUACCACAUCUGCCUGAGGAACAAAUAGGGUAAGUGAGAAGGAUAUAAGGAAGCAUAUGGAGACAAGCGCAACAGAACACGUGCCGUUACAUCCACUACUUUGUCAACAGCAAAAGUAUCCCAUAUCAGCAGGGUCGAACGUACUCUAGAUUUGAUGGACUUGUUUUGACCCUCAAAUUCUUCAGUCGGCCUUAUACUCUGGCGGAAACCAGAAAACCCUCCAGCCCAGUUCAAGAAUAAGCCUGUGGAAAGUUACUUCUUCAAAAGCAAAAGUAUCUCAUAUCACCUUUUCUCCUUUUCUUCUCUUUAUCCUUCAUGCUGCCUGCAAGAUAAGGAGAAGGAUAACAAUUAGCCGGAACUCGAAAUCAAACUUCUGAUAUGGGACUGAUUGCUUGGAGCUCUGAUUGCUUACCUUGUCUGUCACCUCUUUCAGCAGAUCCCCUAGCUCGGCGACUUGGGGGACUCCUACUACAUGGUUUGUAUCGUGCUUGAUCAAGCCUGAAACUACAAGUAAGCGUCAAGUGAAAUUGAUACAUUACCUUGUACAUCUCCACCAGUUAAAGAUACCACCCCUGGAGGGAGGAAUAGUACUUCCAAAGAAGAUGCCACAUCUACCUAUGAGACAGAUAAGGCAAGUGAAGACGAUACCACACUUCGGUACUUAAAAGUUUCGUGAUUACGAGAUCAUUCUCCCAUAAUAUUUCCUAAUGUCAUUUGUACUAAAUCAUUCACUUGUACUCACUAAAGGAGAGCUUGAACCUAUGUACUGUGUAAACCCUUCACAAUUAAUGAGAACUCAUUUACUUCGUGGACGUAGCCAAUCUGGGUAAACCACGUACAUCUUGUGUUUGCUUCCUGUCUCUAUCCAUUUACAUACUUAUCCACACUAAUGACCGGAGCAAUCUAGUGAAGAUCACAAACUUAAUAUUUAAGAUGAUAUUCUUUGGUGUAUGCUUUUCGCAAACGAUAUAGUGUUGAUAGAUGAAACGCAGGAAGGGGUAAACGCGAAGCUUAACCUUUGGAGAGAAGUGUUGGAAUCUAAAGGUCUUCGCCUAAGCCGAUCAAAGACAGAAUAUAUGGAGUGCAAGUUCAGUGCAAAUGGAGGCCAAAAUGAGUUAGGGAUGAGGAUCGGAGAUCAGGAAAUACCAAAGAGCGACCGUUUUCGCUACCUAGGAUCUAUCUUGCAAAAGAACGGAGAAUUUGAUGAAGAUCUCACCCAUAGAAUACAAGCUGGAUGGAUGAAGUGGAAGAGUGCAUCCGGCGUGUUGUGUGACUGUCGUAGGCCACUGAAGCUCAAGGGAAAAUUUUAUAGGACGAGAAUAAGGCCGGCGAUGCUGUAUGGCACAGAAUGUUGGGCGGUGAAGCAUCAACACGUAGGUGUAGUGGAGAUGAGGAUGCUUCGUUAGAUGUGUGGGCACAUGAGAAAGGAUAAGAUUAGGAAUAAGGAUAUCCGAGGUAAAGUAGGAGUAGCCAAAAUUGAAGGAAAGAGGAGAGAAACUCGGUUACGGUGGUUUGGACAUGUGCAAAGAAGGCCUACUGAUGCUCCGGUUCGAAGAUGUGACUACGGGACAGAGGUUCAGGGCCGAAGGGGUAGAGGAAGACCUAGGAAAACUUUGGAAGAGACCCUAAGAAAAGACUUAGAGUACUUGGAUCUGACGGAGGACAUGACACCAAACCGAGCGCAAUGGCGUUCUAGGAUUUAUAUAGCCGACCCCACUUAGUGGGAAAAGGCUUUGUUGUUGUUGUUGUUGUUGUAUGUGUGGGUAACCUCAAACAUAUUUGUCAAACAAGUUUUUUUAUAAAUUGUUGUAGUGUUUCCAUUUUUUGGUGCAGAGCUCCACGAUUAGCUAGCGUGAAUCUUGGUAUCUUCAUAUGCAUGCAAUGUUCAGGGAUCCACAUGGUUCCCAUAGCAGGUUGCAUAUAUCCAAUGUAAUUACCAAUGAUGUUUUGGCUUCUUUCCAUUUUGGUAGUAAGGUCAUAUCUCUGUCAAGCAAGGUCGUACUGAGAGUGAGAACAUCAAGGGAACUCUCUCUUACCCUCACUGACCCACAUUAAAAACGAGGCACAUUAUGUUUGCACCCUAUUUUUGCAUAUCUCUGUAAAUUUAGGUAUUUUUUACCCAAAUUUUUUUUUCGUUAAGCUUUCAUCUUGCUGUAAAUUUAGGAGUUUUCUCUCUGUGUUGGUUCAUCUGCUUAUACUUUUCAAAUGUUGGUUCAUCUUAUGCAAAUAUUGAUAUGCUUAACAGCCUGCUGACGGCAACAGUGGCUGCAGAAGUGGAGGAAAUGACGAUGGUAAUUGAGGUGCAGUGGUAACAGGAGAGGUAGCAGGAGGCAGUGACCGUGGUGGCGAAGACAUUGUUGGUUGCAGAGUAAGUUUCUAUUGAGUUUCUUGAGAUGUAUUGUAAUUUGUAUUUGUAUAACACCGUAACACUCUGGUGAGAAUAUUUAGCUACUAAUAGAUAGAGGGUAAAUAAUAGUGUCCCGAUAACUGACUAUAAAUUUGAUAUCAAAUCUAAUGACGGAUAUUUUUUUUGGUCAUUUAGAAAAUUUUCUUUAAUAAUCGAUUAUAGUGUUGUCUGAGAGGUGAACAAUGUAAAUUGACUUCAAGACCAACUCUAAUCAAUGAGAUGGUAAAGAUUGAUUAAAAUUCGGACUACGUAAUAGGCUAGACUAGCAAAUUCAGUAAUUAAGUACUAAGAGAGUGUUACUGAAAUAUUAGAUGGAUAAGACAUAAUUGAGGAGAGCCCGUUAACAAGAUUUUAAUUAUUAUUUUCUUCCAACUAAUCUUCCAACUAACCUCUCACUUAUUUUACUUUUGUAUUGAAUGGGGAAGCAGCAUGUGAUGAGUAAGACCAAAUAAGGCUCAAUUCUUUCAAAUUUGUCUUAAUUUUGGAUUGCUAUAUUGUAAGACCAAAAACCAAUACCAACAUGAUUCAAAGAACCUCAAUCUACUAUCUUUAACAAUUGAAACUAUAUUGUAGGGUGUUAAAUCUUUAGUCUUAAUUUGAAGACUGAAAAUAAAAUAAUUUGAAGCUAAAUUGAUUAGUAUUAAGCUUAGCCUUCUCUCAAACUACAUUGGUUAUUAUUACUAAUAGUUACAUUUUGUGCAGUUUAGGGAACUUAUGCGAUCUGUUCUAUUGUUUAUAUCAUUAAACUUUCCUCUACUUUCCCUUUCUUACAGGGUUUUAUUGAAAACAAACUUAUACAUCCCAACGCAAAAGGAGAGAGGAGGCAAUGGCUAGCAUUGUUGAUAACGUGAGUAAAUUUGUAAACAGGAUUUCUAAUAGUUUGCUAGCUAUAGAGUUAUUUCUUCGUCUCCCAUAAGGUUCAACUUUUUAUAUACACUUUCAUGAUUUCUCCAUUUCUCUUUUCAACUACUGAAGCAAAGAGAUAGUGUAUGUCUACCAAAUUCAGAAAAUCAAUAAUGUUUUACGCAACUCUUUUAAAUGGUUAAUUGUUGUACUAUGUCAAAUUAGAUGUAGGGUUGAUGAUAGAAAAUUUAUUCAUGUCAGUAAUUCAUCGUGUUCAAUUUUCAUGCUUUGCCAUUCUUAUCCACUUUGUUACUUCUUUUGAUGCAACCUGAAUUAUAUAUAUAUAUUUUUAAUCUUCAUCAGGCACUUCUCUUUGGAAAGAAACAUGUUUGGUCUUCAAUACACCAUUUAAAUGUGAAGGAGGAAGUUCCCCUCUCACAUGGUUAGAGCCGUAUAGGUAAAUGAUUCUUUUUUCUUUGAUCAAGUAUUUGGUACUUUACCUUAUGUCUAAUGCCUUUUGUUGCUGUUUGUUUGUGUUAACUGAUAUUUUUGAAUCUUUGGUAGUAUUUUUAUACUCUUUUGGAAAGAAAUAAUUUAUUUUAUCCUGUGUUUUUUUUUCUCAAAUAAAUCCAUGAUUUGUUAAUUGUUAGCUUUUCUUUGCUCACUAAAAUAAGCCAUCUUAAUUAAUUAAGGUCUCUUGCUACUGUUUUUGUGAUAAUAUUACUAUCUAUUUUUCAUUUUCUUCUUUUCAGUACACAUUGACUUCAUGUUACUUUUUAAAAUUGGUCCUUACUUGGCUGAGCCAUAGUAAAUUGUCCAUAACUCACCUGCAUACAAUCUCUCGAUUUUGAAGAUUACUCAAAUGAAAUUUGUGAUUAAUUUUAUUGAAUUGUUUUUAUUUAAUUUAAUCUGUAAUUUUUUAAAAAUAUGCAGGGGAGUUCAAAGUCAAAGAGGAGGGGCGUAAGCACAUAUUAAGUUUUUGUAUGUAAAUCUGAUUGUUUGAUUUUGGGUGUAUAGAUCAUGGGUUAAGUGAUGCAGGUGAAGCUUUGUUUUAGGACCAUCUUUGAGAAGUAUUGGUUGUUGAGCUGCCAGAAAAUGGUCACUCAAUCUCUCAAAGGGGCAGCUUUGGAUUGCCUUUCCAAAAUGUUGAGGAGGUCAUAGAAAUUAAGCUAAUUGAAACAUUAUUUGAUAAUUUUGGCAUAUGAAUUUGAAUUGGUAUUGAUUUUUUUUCAUAACUUUUGGAACGCCGAGAUGGGACUACCAAGACCUAGUUUGGGAGUGAGGUGCUUAAAAAAAAAGCACCCAUGAAAAAAAGCUGUGAGGGUUUUAUGUGUUUGGUAAACUGAAAAAAAGGGCUUAUUUUGGAA
RNAcentral lists this long non-coding RNA (10313 nucleotides) under Malus domestica (apple). RNAcentral's name for it is "long non-coding RNA (MDOM_LNC017486)". The record is from RNAcentral. Lineage: Eukaryota; Viridiplantae; Streptophyta; Magnoliopsida; Rosales; Rosaceae.